CUAGGGUGGCAGCAGUGGGGAAUAUUGGACAAUGGGCGAAAGCCUGAUCCAGCCAUGCCGCGUGUGUGAAGAAGGCCUUCGGGUUGUAAAGCACUUUCAGUGGGGAAGAAAGCCUUGGGGCUAAUACCCUCGAGGAAGGACAUCACCCACAGAAGAAGCACCGGCUAACUCCGUGCCAGCAGCCGCGGUAAUACGGAGGGUGCGAGCGUUAAUCGGAAUUACUGGGCGUAAAGCGCGCGUAGGCGGUCUGAUAAGCCGGUUGUGAAAGCCCCGGGCUCAACCUGGGAACGGCAUCCGGAACUGUCAGGCUAGAGUGCAGGAGAGGAAGGUAGAAUUCCCGGUGUAGCGGUGAAAUGCGUAGAGAUCGGGAGGAAUACCAGUGGCGAAGGCGGCCUUCUGGACUGACACUGACGCUGAGGUGCGAAAGCGUGGGUAGCAAACAGGAUUAGAUACCCCGGUAGUC
Molecule: ribosomal RNA, 463 nt
Filed under: Vreelandella stevensii
Lineage: Bacteria; Pseudomonadati; Pseudomonadota; Gammaproteobacteria; Oceanospirillales; Halomonadaceae
Description: partial 16S ribosomal RNA
Rfam family: Bacterial small subunit ribosomal RNA
Source: RNAcentral